This is a non-coding RNA of Trichonephila clavata, 69 nucleotides long. Lineage: Eukaryota; Metazoa; Arthropoda; Arachnida; Araneae; Nephilidae. The record is from the annotation of a GenBank genome assembly.
CUGUAGCGCAAAAGACUGCGCGUUGGACUUCUAAUCCAAAGGUCAUGGGUUCGAAUCCCCCCUGAAAGA